GAAGCAUUGUUUUGGCGGGAGAACGCUGCCUUUCCCGCAGUCGCCGCAGAAAGGUUGAAAGAAAGAAAAAGAAAGAAAGAAGGACGAGGAAGAGACGGAAAAUUGAGUCUGAAAUUUUUCUUAAGGUAAUCAGGCUCGACCUAAUCAUUGACUGAAAAAAAUGAAGGCAUUUGGAACAGGACCUGGUCGCGGGGUCAUCUAUGAAGACUCUUCCUCCAUAGCAUCAGGUAAAGCCCUUUCACCCUCAACCAACUUUCUCUUCCUUCUUUUUCUCUGGUAUUUUGCCGUCCUGCGGUGUCUUAGGAGGCUGAUGUUCAUUAUGGGGCAGUACUGACCGUCACACUCCCCUCAGACACACAGACAAACCCUC
Molecule: long non-coding RNA, 370 nt
Organism: Fukomys damarensis (Damara mole-rat)
Lineage: Eukaryota; Metazoa; Chordata; Mammalia; Rodentia; Bathyergidae
Exons: 3
Source: RefSeq, a predicted model, not a curated record